GACGAACCGUGCGAACGUUGUUCGGAUUCAUUGGGCGUAAAGCGCACGUAGGCGGCUUUCUAAGUCGGGGGUGAAAUCCUGGAGCUCAACUCCAGAACUGCCUUCGAUACUGGAGAGCUCGAGUCCGGGAGAGGUGAGUGGAACUGCGAGUGUAGAGGUGAAAUUCGUAGAUAUUCGCAAGAACACCAGUGGCGAAGGCGGCUCACUGGCCCGGUACUGACGCUGAGGUGCGAAAGCGUGGGGAGCAAACAGG
RNAcentral lists this ribosomal RNA (253 nucleotides) under uncultured bacterium. Its description in RNAcentral is "partial 16S ribosomal RNA". It matches the Rfam family "Bacterial small subunit ribosomal RNA", at positions 524 to 776 of the family's 1533-position model. The record is from RNAcentral.